RNAcentral lists this ribosomal RNA (266 nucleotides) under uncultured Staphylococcus sp. RNAcentral's name for it is "partial 16S ribosomal RNA". It matches the Rfam family "Bacterial small subunit ribosomal RNA", at positions 96 to 355 of the family's 1533-position model. The record is from RNAcentral. Lineage: Bacteria; Bacillati; Bacillota; Bacilli; Caryophanales; Staphylococcaceae.
CGGCGGACGGGUGAGUAACACGUGGAUAACCUACCUAUAAGACUGGGAUAACUUCGGGAAACCGGAGCUAAUACCGGAUAAUAUAUUGAACCGCAUGGUUCAAUGGUGAAAGACGGUUUUGCUGUUACUUAUAGAUGGAUCCGCGCCGCAUUAGCUAGUUGGUAAGGUAACGGCUUACCAAGGCAACGAUGCGUAGCCGACCUGAGAGGGUGAUCGGCCACACUGGAACUGAGACACGGUCCAGACUCCUACGGGAGGCAGCAGCU